GUAAAUAUAAUUUAAUGGUAAAAUGUAUGUUUUUAGGUGCAUAUUAUCUAAGUUCAAAUCUUAGUAUUUACACCA
Molecule: transfer RNA, 75 nt
Filed under: Saccharomyces cerevisiae (brewer's yeast)
Lineage: Eukaryota; Fungi; Ascomycota; Saccharomycetes; Saccharomycetales; Saccharomycetaceae
Description: tdbR00000441
Rfam family: tRNA
About the family: Transfer RNA (tRNA) molecules are approximately 80 nucleotides in length. Their secondary structure includes four short double-helical elements and three loops (D, anti-codon, and T loops).
Source: RNAcentral